RNAcentral lists this ribosomal RNA (943 nucleotides) under Agaricus sp. RNAcentral's name for it is "LSU rRNA". It matches the Rfam family "Eukaryotic large subunit ribosomal RNA", at positions 32 to 962 of the family's 3401-position model. The record is from RNAcentral. Lineage: Eukaryota; Fungi; Basidiomycota; Agaricomycetes; Agaricales; Agaricaceae.
AACUAAGCAUAUCAAUAAGCGGAGGAAAAGAAACUAACAAGGAUUCCCCUAGUAACUGCGAGUGAAGCGGGAAAAGCUCAAAUUUAAAAUCUGGCAGUCUCUGGCUGUCCGAGUUGUAAUCUAGAGAAGUAAUGCCCGUGCUGGACCGUGUAUAAGUCUCCUGGGAUGGGGCGUCAUAGAGGGUGAGAAUCCCGUCUUUGACACGGACUACCAGUGCAUUGUGGUAUGCUCUCAAAGAGUCGAGUUGUUUGGGAAUGCAGCUCAAAAUGGGUGGUAAAUUCCAUCUAAAGCUAAAUAUUGGCGAGAGACCGAUAGCGAACAAGUACCGUGAGGGAAAGAUGAAAAGAACUUUGGAAAGAGAGUUAAACAGUACGUGAAAUUGCUGAAAGGGAAACGCUUGAAGUCAGUCGCGUUGGCCGGGAAUCAGCCUUGCUUUUGCAUGGUGUACUUUCUGGUUGACGGGUCAGCAUCAAUUUUGACCGCUGGAAAAAGACCUGGGGAAUGUGGCAGCUUMGGCUGUGUUAUAGCCCCUAGUCGCAUACAGUGGUUGGGAUUGAGGAACUCAGCACGCCGCAAGGCCGGGUUUCGACCACGUCCGUGCUUAGGAUGCUGGCAUAAUGGCUUUAAGCGACCCGUCUUGAAACACGGACCAAGGAGUCUAACAUGCCUGCGAGUAUUUGAGUGGAAAACUCAAGUGCGCAAUGAAAGUGAAAGUUGAGAUCCCUGUCGUGGGGAGCAUCGACGCCCGGACCAGAACUUUUGGGACGGAUCCGCGGUGGAGCAUGUAUGUUGGGACCCGAAAGAUGGUGAACUAUGCCUGAAUAGGGUGAAGCCAGAGGAAACUCUGGUGGAGGCUCGUAGCGAUUCUGACGUGCAAAUCGAUCGUCAAAUUUGGGUAUAGGGGCGAAAGACUAAUCGAACCAUCUAGUAGCUGGUUCCUGCC